UUGGAAACAGAUGCUAAUACCGCAUAGAUCCAAGAACCGCAUGGUUCUUGGCUGAAAGAUGGCCUAAGCUAUCGCUUUUGGAUGGACCCGCGGCGUAUUAGCUAGUUGGUGAGGUGAUCGCUCACCAAGGCGAUGAUACGUAGCCGAACUGAGAGGUUGAUCGGCCACAUUGGGACUGAGACACGGCCCAAACUCCUACGGGAGGCAGCAGUAGGGAAUCUUCCACAAUGGACGCAAGUCUGAUGGAGCAACGCCGCGUGAGUGAAGAAGGCUUUCGGGUCGUAAAACUCUGUUGUUGGAGAAGAAUGGUCGGCAGAGUAACUGUUGUCGGCGUGACGGUAUCCAACCAGAAAGCCACGGCUAACUACGUGCCAGCAGCCGCGGUAAUACGUAGGUGGCAAGCGUUAUCCGGAUUUAUUGGGCGUAAAGCGAGCGCAGGCGGUUUUUUAAGUCUGAUGUGAAAGCCCUCGGCUUAACCGAGGAAGCGCAUCGGAAACUGGGAAACUUGAGUGCAGAAGAGGACAGUGGAACUCCAUGUGUAGCGGUGAAAUGCGUAGAUAUAUGGAAGAACACCAGUGGCGAAGGCGGCUGUCUGGUCUGUAACUGACGCUGAGGCUCGAAAGCAUGGGUAGCGAACAGGAUUAGAUACCCUGGUAGUCCAUGCCG
This 666-nucleotide ribosomal RNA is filed under the name uncultured bacterium. Its description in RNAcentral is "bacterial SSU rRNA". It matches the Rfam family "Bacterial small subunit ribosomal RNA", at positions 150 to 802 of the family's 1533-position model. The record is from RNAcentral.